This 410-nucleotide long non-coding RNA is filed under the name Rattus norvegicus (Norway rat). RNAcentral describes it as "long non-coding RNA NONRATT020208". Lineage: Eukaryota; Metazoa; Chordata; Mammalia; Rodentia; Muridae. The record is from RNAcentral.
GGGAGGGUGUGGGGAGUUAUGGUUCGGAAAUGUUUCCCUCCAAAAGCUAUAUCUGUCGAAGGUUUGGGUCCCAGCUGCUGACAUUAUUGGAAUGUAAUUGGAUCAUGGGGAUACUUAUUUUUUUUAUCAAUGAGCAUAAACCCCUGAUAACUUUAUAAUGAACAAGAUUUUAAGAGAAGGAACGUUAACUGCAAAAAGUAGGUUACUGGAAGUACGUCCUCAUUCAAAUGGUAUAUUUUGUCACUAUCACUUUCUCCAACCCUCUCCCCUAAUAUCUCUCUAAUAAACUAUAACGCACAGUGAGCUAUACUUUCCAUAGAAGAUGCCCUGUUCUACCAUAUAUGGGCUCAGAAACAAUGGCACUAAAUGAAUGUUGGAUUCUGAUGAAUUCUACCAAACUAAAGUCUUCU